CACCGCGGUUAUACGAGAGACCCAAAUUGACAGUACUCGGCAUAAAGUGUGGUUAAGAAGAACUAAAAUAAAGCCGAACUCUCUCAAGGCUGUUAUACGCGACCGAGAGAAAGAAGAUCAACAACGAAAGUGGCCUUAGCCCAAUCUGAACCCACGAAAACUAGGACA
This 168-nucleotide ribosomal RNA is filed under the name Photolateralis stercorarius (oblong slipmouth). RNAcentral's name for it is "partial small subunit ribosomal RNA". The record is from RNAcentral. Lineage: Eukaryota; Metazoa; Chordata; Actinopteri; Chaetodontiformes; Leiognathidae.